GGCAGGGCCCCCGCCCCAGUCCCCUCCCGGCGGGCCCGUGCGGCCCCGGGGAAGGUGCUGGGGUCCUCUGGCAUCGCCCGGGGACGGCUCGGGUCGGGCGCCCGCGGCCUCGCGGCGUUGCGCGCUCUCCAACAGACUUCUGUCCGCCUCCCGGUUUCUGCUCCGGGUUUAUUCCCGGCAACAGCGGCCGCCUCGGGACACACAUUCACACUGCCACCCGCAAACCCAUUCUUGCGACUCCCGGGGACCUGAGGAAGCGGCGCGGAGAGGUGACCCUCGCCGCCCUGCCCCUGCUCUUCCUCCCCCAGCGGGGCGCGUGGUCGAGUUGCGAGGGGCUCUACUGCUGUCCGGGAAUGGGGGCACUUCGAAGUAGCUGUGACUCUGGGAAUCCAGGCGGAUAUUGGGACCAAUUCAAGAGGCUCUGAGAGUGGCAUCCUGGGGGACGCAAGCACCACGUAGGUUCUCAGCCAGCCCAGAGUCCCUCCUUAUGGCAUGUGCUUCUGGCUCCUGUUUCCUGGCUUUCCAAGAGCGCUGUCACUGGAUAGCCUGCUGGAGACUUUGGGGGAGAGCAAAGACGAGGAGCAUCAAGGAGACCACACUCUUUUUCUCUAAGCAGUCUCGGGAGAACAGAAUUCCAAGCGUUAAAGUGGAUGGUGUGGAUUUUAGAGGUGUAAACUGUGAGAGCAAGGCAGGGAGAAGACCUUCCUCAAGUGGAACCAGCAGCAUCAGCACCACCUGGGAACUGGUUAGAGGUGCCAGUUCUCAGGCCCCACCUUAGCCCUGCUGAACCAAACACUCCGGGAUGGGGGCCCAGCAACGUGUUCAUAAGCCCUUCCAGGAACCGAGACCCCUUGUCCAGUUCAGGCCUGCUGAGAUCACCAACCCAUCAAGUGGGCCUGUGCAAGUGCUGGGUCCUAUUAAGAGGGAUGAAGCUUGACUAGGCUUGUGCAGAUCAUCAAUUGCCUCACUUCUCUUUACUUCCAAUCAUCUGUCUCCACACAUCAGACUGCCCUGCCCUUCAUCCCGUAAAUUGUCCCCCAAGCCCUGGAUCUGGGAGACAGAUCUGAGGGCACAUGCCUGCUGUCUCCUUGCAGAUCAAUAUCAAAAAAUAAAGCUACAUUUCUUUUCCCAAAAGCUGAUGCUGUUAUAAUUGGCUUUUUUAAUGUGCCUUGGGCAAGAGAACCCCAAUUUUGUGCCAUAACAAGUUAAGAAAGUUACUCUUUCUGAGUUUAUGGAGAAGAUUAAGUGAGAUAUAUUCAAAGCAUUUA
This 1268-nucleotide long non-coding RNA is filed under the name Equus asinus (donkey). RNAcentral describes it as "lncRNA (ENSEASG00005028064.1)". The record is from RNAcentral. Lineage: Eukaryota; Metazoa; Chordata; Mammalia; Perissodactyla; Equidae.